UGGGGAAUUUUCCGCAAUGGGCGAAAGCCUGACGGAGCAAUACCGCGUGAGGGAGGAAGGCUCUUGGGUUGUAAACCUCUUUUCUCAGGGAAGAACAGAAUGACGGUACCUGAGGAAUAAGCAUCGGCUAACUCCGUGCCAGCAGCCGCGGUAAUACGGAGGAUGCAAGCGUUAUCCGGAAUGAUUGGGCGUAAAGGGUCCGCAGGUGGCAUUGUAAGUCUGCUGUUAAAGAGUUUGGCUCAACCAAAUAAGAGCAGUGGAAACUACAAAGCUAGAGUGUGGUCGGGGCAGAGGGAAUUCCUGGUGUAGCGGUGAAAUGCGUAGAUAUCAGGAAGAACACCAGUGGCGAAGGCGCUCUGCUAG
Molecule: ribosomal RNA, 363 nt
Filed under: uncultured cyanobacterium
Lineage: Bacteria; Bacillati; Cyanobacteriota
Description: bacterial SSU rRNA
Rfam family: Bacterial small subunit ribosomal RNA
Source: RNAcentral